CCCUUCAAGAGGCUGAAGUGCAAGUUGAAAUGUAUAGAGUGAGCCUUUGAAUUCCCAUUCAGUUUUCCAGCUUGAAGGCAAAUCAGGUCUGAACAUAAAGAUGGUACUGAUUAUCACCAGCUUCUGCAUAGAACAACAGAGCAGUGCAAGGCUUAUUGUAUAUGACACAGACUACCAUGAGUAUUGACACCAUUUCAUUUAACUUCUCUCCAUUUAAGCUUCUUUUUGGAAGAUGUGAUGUGUAAAAUACGUAGUAC
Pipra filicauda (Wire-tailed manakin) is the source of this 257-nucleotide long non-coding RNA. RefSeq lists it as uncharacterized. The record is from RefSeq and is a predicted model, not a curated record. The transcript is spliced from 3 exons. NCBI's taxonomy places the organism in Eukaryota, Metazoa, Chordata, Aves, Passeriformes, Pipridae.